CCAGGUGCCAUAUUGUCGCCGUUAAUGACUGCUAAUGAAUAUUUUUGCAUUGGAAUAUAAUCCGCUGGCAGAUAGUCAAACGAGUGCAAAACGCGGUUAAGGACCGCUAAAAGUAAUUUGUAUAUUGUGUGAGAAAAUAUCCCGUAGCAUACAAUAGAAAUAUGAUUAUUACCAUUGUUAUGAAGAAUUUUUUAAUCUAUAUUACACAGAGUGAAGUCGACAACCGUGUUACAUAAUCCUGUGGUACUAUUGUAGAUCAAUUUACUGAUUUGUAAUGCAUAUAUCACUUGCAAUGCAUAGUGUUACAUCACAAUACUAGCGGAUGAAUUAGCUGUGUAUGAGUUUUCGAAAUUUAUUAAAUUAAAUUAGAAAUGUAUAAAAUCUAAACCGAAGAAUUUUGUCGACAGGUUUUUAAGUUUCUAUUGUUUUAUUUUACAAUAAGUAUAAUUUGGAAUUUAAAGUUGAAAAAAAAGCAAAUGAGGAACC
Molecule: long non-coding RNA, 486 nt
Organism: Osmia bicornis bicornis
Lineage: Eukaryota; Metazoa; Arthropoda; Insecta; Hymenoptera; Megachilidae
Exons: 2
Source: RefSeq, a predicted model, not a curated record